Molecule: ribosomal RNA, 207 nt
Filed under: uncultured delta proteobacterium
Lineage: Bacteria; Deltaproteobacteria
Description: partial 16S ribosomal RNA
Rfam family: Bacterial small subunit ribosomal RNA
Source: RNAcentral
CGUGCAGGCGGUUCGGCAAGUCUGAUGUGAAAGCCCCGGGCUUAACCCGGGAAGUGCAUUGGAAACUGCCGGACUUGAGUACUGGAGAGGAAGGGGGAAUUCCCGGUGUAGAGGUGAAAUUCGUAGAGAUCGGGAGGAAUACCAGUGGCGAAGGCGCCCUUCUGGACGGUUACUGACGCUGAGACGCGAAAGCGUGGGGAGCAAACA